This 309-nucleotide ribosomal RNA is filed under the name uncultured bacterium. Its description in RNAcentral is "partial 16S ribosomal RNA". It matches the Rfam family "Bacterial small subunit ribosomal RNA", at positions 504 to 807 of the family's 1533-position model. The record is from RNAcentral.
AGAGACAGCAGCAGCCACGGUAAUACGGAGGGGGCUAGCGUUGUUCGGAAUUACUGGGCGUAAAGCGCACGUAGGCGGCUUUGUAAGUUAGAGGUGAAAGCCUGGGGCUCAACUCCAGAAUUGCCUUUAAGACUGCAUCGCUUGAACGUCGGAGAGGUGAGUGGAAUUCCGAGUGUAGAGGUGAAAUUCGUAGAUAUUCGGAAGAACACCAGUGGCGAAGGCGGCUCACUGGACGACUGUUGACGCUGAGGUGCGAAAGCGUGGGGAGCAAACAGGAUUAGAGACCCGCGUAGUCCCUGUCUCUUAUAC